Quercus robur (English oak) is the source of this 473-nucleotide long non-coding RNA. RefSeq lists it as uncharacterized. Lineage: Eukaryota; Viridiplantae; Streptophyta; Magnoliopsida; Fagales; Fagaceae. The record is from RefSeq and is a predicted model, not a curated record. The transcript has 3 exons.
CAGUGGAGAAUUGGAAGAAGUAUUUGAUCCAAAACUUUCAGCUCGUGUUUGGCAGUUGAUAACUGUGAAAAAUAGUGGGUGGGUUACACAGUCAGUAUGGCUGCUGCAAAUGCUGGAUGGAUUGACCAUACGCAGCCUGGCCCUAUUGACACGUCGGUGUUAAAGUUGCAGCCCACCCAUCGGUCAGAAGCUAUUUGGAAUGGCCAGGAUCCAGGGGCCCUUACUUGCCGUGGCCGUACUGAAGAGUUCUCCAACUGAGAGCCAAUGGUGGACGACCGAGUCGUUGACAUCAUUAAGGCAUUGGGCUUGGAGGGACUGCUGAGGCAACUGGGUAGAGAGCUUGACCAUGGCCUAAUAAUAGCCUUCGUGGAGCGAUGGCGGCCUGAGACUCACACCUUCCACAUGCCACAUGGUGAGAUCACCAUCACAUUGCAGGAUGUGGAGGUGAUUCUUGGGCUUCCUGUUGAUGGUAA